AGUGAACGCUGGCGGUAGGCCUAACACAUGCAAGUCGAACGGCAGCACAGGAGAGCUUGCUCUCUGGGUGGCGAGUGGCGGACGGGUGAGGAAUACAUCGGAAUCUACCUUUUCGUGGGGAUAACGUAGGGAAACUUACGCUAAUACCGCAUACGACCUACGGGUGAAAGUGGGGACCGCAAGGCCUCACGCGAUUAGAU
Molecule: ribosomal RNA, 200 nt
Filed under: uncultured bacterium
Lineage: Bacteria
Description: partial 16S ribosomal RNA
Rfam family: Bacterial small subunit ribosomal RNA
Source: RNAcentral